GCUAUCGGUUUCCUCAAUUUAGUUCUUCGCAAAAUAGUGAAAAGUGAACAAGCAGAAAGCUAAACAUGGAUUCCUCAUUGCAAUCAUCCAAGAGAUCCGCUCAAUAUUACCGGCGAAUUCAGAAACGCACUCUGAAUGAAGCGGUGGAAGAGGAAGGAGAAAGCAGCCGGAUGCCGAUGGAUAUAGAUAACGCACAGCGCCAACACCGACGCCGAAAUUGCAAGGAAUCCCAUGGUAGGAGAGAAGAAGGACGUAAGCGCCGCGUGAGGAAGAGAGCGGCAAAGCGCGCGCGGCUAAUCGUGUGUGGAUCGCGCAGAGGAAGCGGCAACGGCUGGUAGAAAGGAGGCGUGGAAGCGGGGACCAGCUGACUGCGGCAGCAGGAUACCACGAAUUAGUGUGAGGCAACGGGUGAGUACGAAUAA
Molecule: long non-coding RNA, 422 nt
Organism: Anopheles moucheti
Lineage: Eukaryota; Metazoa; Arthropoda; Insecta; Diptera; Culicidae
Exons: 3
Source: RefSeq, a predicted model, not a curated record